GACGAACGCUGGCGGCGUGCUUAACACAUGCAAGUCGAACGGAAAGGCCCUGCUUUUGUGGGGUGCUCGAGUGGCGAACGGGUGAGUAACACGUGAGUAACCUGCCCUUGACUUUGGGAUAACUUCAGGAAACUGGGGCUAAUACCGGAUAGGAGCUCCUGCUGCAUGGUGGGGGUUGGAAAGUUUCGGCGGUUGUGGAUGGACUCGCGGCUUAUGAGCUUGUUGGUGGGGUAGUGGCUUACCCAGGCAGUGACGGGUAGCCGGCCUGGGAGGGUGACCGGCGACAUUGGGACUAAGAGACGGAGCAGACGGCUACGGUGGGCAGCAGUGGGGAAUAUGGCACAAUGAGCGGAAGCCUGAUGCAGCAACGCCGCGUGCGGGAUGACGGCCUUCGGGGUGUAAACCGCUUUCGCCUGUGACGAAGCGUGAGUGACGGUAAUGGGUAAAGAAGCACCGGCUAACUACGUG
This 468-nucleotide ribosomal RNA is filed under the name uncultured bacterium. Its description in RNAcentral is "partial 16S ribosomal RNA". It matches the Rfam family "Bacterial small subunit ribosomal RNA", at positions 28 to 507 of the family's 1533-position model. The record is from RNAcentral.